UAAAUACUUGGAACACAAUAUAAUCUCUUCAUUUCUCACAGCAGGCAACUGCUGCUUUGCCGAGCCUCGCAAUGAAUGGCACCUGUUUACAAUCUAGACUUGUAACCCCCUGCCUUUUAGAAAAGAGUAAGCUUCAAGUGCAUAAAUGUAAAUAGAGUAACUCACCACAUCCUGCGGUACAUUCUGAAUCACUGACCUGACUUGGACUUUUAAGUUGCAGCUGGAAACCACCGUGUCCCUGGCAAUAGAAAGUUUAAAGGCAGAAGAAGCCCAAUGCAAGGCAUUUUCAAUGUUGCCAUGGUGACUAAUGAAAACUGAAUUAUGAGAAAAGAAGAACGCUUUCAAGCUCAGCGCCACCUGCGCGACUCAGUAUAUUAAUAACUGGAUCGGCUGGCAGGAUAAUAGGACAGCCCAAGGUUUAUGUUGACCGGCUAACGCCUGGCUACAGGCUAACUCUAACAGCAACAUUUCUGUCAAGAGCUUCCUCAGCCGUAAUUUAUUCUGAGUUUUCAGCAGUGAGAUGUCACCCAAAACAGAGGUGUCACUUCUGUCAGUGUAUUUCUGAAAGGCACGGAACUGCUGCCAGCAGCACAGACUUUAAGUAUAAGGAUACUGGCAGCAUCAGGCUUUUCCACUGGAGAUAAAGAAUUAUUUUAAGCACAAGAACCAAAAAGAUUAUGAAUUUCAUAUCCUGAUUCUACAUUUUUUUGUCCAUAGGAUAAAAAAGCACAGUAGAAAAGACUAAAAUAUUGUUCUGAGGAAAGCAAGGUUCCUUUGUGCAAUUUUAUUCAAAGUUUUCAAAACAGAAAGCUGUUCCUGGUCUCCUACAGGUACCACACAAAACACACUGCAGGACAGUGCAAGAUUAGUAGACUAGUCACAACAGCCAGUCAGCAAGUAGAAUUUAAAGGUCUGCUGCAUGAAACAUAACAUUUGGUUGCUAUGAGAUACUAGACCUGGAGGAAACUAGUUUGUUUAUAGAUGCUAAAAGUAGCAGCUAAACAACCGCUGAUUGGAAUUCAUCUGGGAAACCAGAAAAUGAACACUAAAAUACUAAAAUUAUACAUGCUUAGUGUUACAAAGUUUGAAUAGGAAAUAUAAUUUCAUAUGUAUGAAUUUAUAAUUUAAUUAUUUGUUAUAUUUCCCCCCCAGUGGGGGGUUUCAAAACCUUGCCCGUAUUGUGUAUGCUUAUGGUCUAAAUAAAUCACUGCUAUCUGGA
This is a long non-coding RNA of Xenopus tropicalis (tropical clawed frog), 1219 nucleotides long. RefSeq lists it as uncharacterized. The record is from RefSeq and is a predicted model, not a curated record. The transcript has 2 exons. NCBI's taxonomy places the organism in Eukaryota, Metazoa, Chordata, Amphibia, Anura, Pipidae.